This 91-nucleotide transfer RNA is filed under the name Nitrosococcus watsonii C-113. Its description in RNAcentral is "tRNA-Ser (TGA) (tRNA-Ser-TGA-1-1)". It matches the Rfam family "tRNA". From Rfam's summary of the family: Transfer RNA (tRNA) molecules are approximately 80 nucleotides in length. Lineage: Bacteria; Pseudomonadati; Pseudomonadota; Gammaproteobacteria; Chromatiales; Chromatiaceae. The record is from RNAcentral.
GGAGGGCUGGCCGAGAGGUUGAAGGCGCUGGUCUUGAAAACCAGAAGGGGUAAAAAACCCCUCCAGGGUUCGAAUCCCUGGCCCUCCGCCA